AGUGAACGCUGGCGGUAGGCCUAACACAUGCAAGUCGAACGGCAGCACAGUAAGAGCUUGCUCUUACGGGUGGCGAGUGGCGGACGGGUGAGGAAUACAUCGGAAUCUACUUUUUCGUGGGGGAUAACGUAGGGAAACUUACGCUAAUACCGCAUACGACCUACGGGUGAAAGCAGGGGAUCUUCGGACCUUGCGCGAUUGAAUGAGCCGAUGUCGGAUUAGCUAGUUGGCGGGGUAAAGGCCCACCAAGGCGACGAUCCGCAGCUGGUCUGAGAGGAUGAUCAGCCACACUGGAACUGAGACACGGUCCAGACUCCUACGGGAGGCAGCAGUGGGGAAUAUUGGACAAUGGGCGCAAGCCUGAUCCAGCCAUACCGCGUGGGUGAAGAAGGCCUUCGGGUUGUAAAGCCCUUUUGUUGGGAAAGAAAAGCAGCAGGUUAAUACCCCGCUGUUCUGACGGUACCCAAAGAAUAAGCACCGGCGAACUUCGU
RNAcentral lists this ribosomal RNA (491 nucleotides) under uncultured bacterium. RNAcentral's name for it is "partial 16S ribosomal RNA". It matches the Rfam family "Bacterial small subunit ribosomal RNA", at positions 29 to 506 of the family's 1533-position model. The record is from RNAcentral.